This is a long non-coding RNA of Pseudophryne corroboree (corroboree frog), 203 nucleotides long. RefSeq lists it as uncharacterized. The transcript is spliced from 3 exons. Lineage: Eukaryota; Metazoa; Chordata; Amphibia; Anura; Myobatrachidae. The record is from RefSeq and is a predicted model, not a curated record.
GACCGCCUCGUAAUUGAUACAGAGGAGGAGCUCAUUCCCAUUGAUUCGGGGGAGGAAGAGGAGCCAGAUUAUAUAAUUAUUGACAGUGAGGAUGAGGAUGAAAAACACUCUCCCCAACUUGGCCCUACACUGUCACAGGCGGUGGCGGAGGAGGAGGACCAGGACUCUAUCUCUAUGUCCAUCACCUCACUGCACCCAUUAAG